Molecule: long non-coding RNA, 2788 nt
Filed under: Homo sapiens (human)
Lineage: Eukaryota; Metazoa; Chordata; Mammalia; Primates; Hominidae
Description: HSALNT0370572
Source: RNAcentral
UGGAUUAAGAACCAUCCCAAUAAUCCCAUUUAACUUAUUAACCUCUUUAAAGACCCUUCCUCCAAAUAUAGUCAUAUUCUGAAAUACUGGGGAUUAGAACUUCAAAAUAUGAAUUUUGAGGGGUCUCAAAUUAGCUCAUAAGACAUGGUAUUUAUAUGUAGAUAAAAUUUGUUUCAAAAUAUGGCAAAAAUAUAAGUCAAUUUAAAGGAAGAAACUUUUAAUAAUACAUUCAUAUAGCAAAAUUAUGAAAGUGGUACAAAAAUGGCAAUUUCUCUUAUCUAUUGAUGGGUAACGAGCUGUCUCAACAUUUGGUGGCUUAAAACAGCCAUUUUAUUUUGCGCAUGGUUUUGUGGGACAGGAAUUCAGGAAGGGCUCAGUGGGUAAUUUCUGUUUGAUUCACUUGGGGUCCACUAGGGCAACAGGAUCCACUUCCAAGAUGGCGUCUUCACUCACAUAUCUGGAACCUCGGUGCUCCUUGUCCUUCACGCUCCAUUUGGUGCCUUAUUUUCCAGGCCCUCUUCCCUCAGGUAGCCUGGGCUUUCUCACAGCAUGGUGGCAUCAGGGUUGUAGGAUUUCUUACAAGGCACUGACUUGUAGAAAGUUUUCAGGAGCUCCGAAUGAGGAGAUUCAAGGGCUCUGACGACCAACCGUCGGCUGUCCCAGUACGUCACUUCUUCCACAUUCUAAUGGUCAGAGUAGUCACUAAGGCCAGUCCAGGUUCGCGGAAGGAAAAUUAGAUUCCACGUCUCUAUGGGAGGACUAGCCACACUAAGCCACUGCGCUGGUUUAGAACUGUCUGAAGUCCCUCCUAGAGGUCGUGUGUUUGAUUCUGCAUCUCCGUGAUUUGUGAAUCUUGCAUCAUUUAAAUUCAGCCUUACACACUGAUGCCUUUGGUGCCGUCCCAAUAUUUAGGUAGCAAACUCGUAGUGGGUAGAGAUUCAGGCUUAAGCUUCCAGCCUGGCUCUGAGGAGAACUGUCUGGGGCUCCCUGCCCUCUUCCCCAUGGAUGAGACUCUUCCCAGCCUUGGGCAAACACAGCGGGGAGCUGGCACCAUCUCCCGCUAGACACCUCCUCCUUUUCCUCUUGCCCUUACCAUGACUCCCGAGUUAUUCUCAGAAGUAAAAGCUUUCCACGCCUGCUCUUCUCUCCUGCAGCCAGGAGUGCAAAUUUAGAUAUUGGAGCUGCUCAGGCAGAAAAAUGGCCCUGGAAUCAGGGAAGCAGAAACCUGCAGCUGCCACGAAAGGACCGCGGAGAUGAAGACCCGGAAGCUUGCAUGUGUUGAAGCCCGGGGUGUGGGGGACUGUGGUCACGUACUCGAGGGGGCUUCAGAGACCUCUGGGAAGCCCUUUCUGCCCACUCGAAGCCUGCCCCUGUGCCUGACAAUCUUCCAUCGGGAGCGAUGUCAUAAAGAAGAAAUGGAAUUCAGUGGGAAGAGUGGUGGACUCGGGGACAAAAGAUCUGGGUUUGCGCCCUGGCUCUGACCUAACUCACCAGCAUUAUUGGAGGCACGUUAGGUUCCCAUGAAAAGCAGCAUCCCAGUGAAGUCAAAGCCCUGGAACCAUCCUCUUCAUCUGUGUUGCUGCUGAGAGAUCAGAAGUCUACCUCUGGAGAUAGAAUCCUUGUCUGCUGCUGGGAUGGAGGGAAGUGCUAACAUUCCACUAGAAAGUGGGUUCUUCCAUGGAGGGACAGAAUUUGAUUCUUGCUGCUUAUACAAAGUAGGUGUUCACAAGGCACUUGUGAACAGCUAGCUCUGCAGAACAAGUCUCCAUCAUCUCGUUGCAGGCUGCUUACCUGCUGGGAGUGGCAUCCUGGGGCCUUCCUCUCUGGCCACCCUAGACUUUGGUUUUAAUUGCUCCUGAGUCUCCCUUCUUCCUGCCGGCUGGCCCUGCGGUCUGUCACCUACGGGACGGCCAACGUCAGAGCUGGGUGACCUUUCAAAGACACCAGGAUUUGUUUAAUUUUCAGAAUUCACCUCUCUUCAUCCUUUUUAUCAGAGGCAGUUAGGGCCCAGCUGGGGAGGCUAUUUGGCAUUUUUCCCUGUAUUUUGAAACAGGUGGGCUGGGGCCUUCUCAAGUGGAGUCUUUUCAACUGAGAGAACUAGAAAGACAGACAAUGAUAGAAUGGGGUGGGGGUGGAGUAGAAUUACCAAGAGAACCAAACAUACAUUAAGUUAUUUUAACACCUGACUCAUUUUCAUGAAAGUCUUCAUUACUGCAUCUUCUGUCUCCAAGGUUUUCUACACACAUAAUUGCAGCUUGUGUUUACAAAGUCAUUACCACAUGCCAAGCACGUCACAUGUCUCGCUUCAUGUAACCUUCACAGCAGCACCUUGAGGUUCUGUUAUCUCCGUUUUACAGAAGGAAGAAACUGAGGCCCAGCAAGGUUGAGCAACUUACCCAAGAUUAAAAGACUAGCUAUUAAUGGAGUUGGCACUUGACUCAUGCAGUCUAAUUUUAAAGUACAAGCUGUUAUUUCCAGCCCCUGCAUUGCCUCCCUAGAUCCCUAAGCAUGAGGCCAGCCUUAUAAUGGUCUACAGUUACAGAAGCCACAGAGCCAUACCACCGUACUUUGAGAAUUGAGUCAACUCCUAUAGGAAGAGUUAUUCUUCACCUACGGGAUAUGUCCUUGUGCUAUACACUCUAGGGGAUUCAGUUGAGGAACUGAACAUUGAAGGUAACAACUUACUGAGAACAAGGUGGAAAGUAAGAUCUGAAUCUGCCCCCUCCCAGUGUGACUUGGGUGAGCCUCAGCUUGUUUAUCCAUUAAAUGGGGGGUCCUAUAACCUCCC